Molecule: ribosomal RNA, 475 nt
Filed under: uncultured bacterium
Lineage: Bacteria
Description: bacterial SSU rRNA
Rfam family: Bacterial small subunit ribosomal RNA
Source: RNAcentral
UCAGUCGACUCCUACGGGGAGGCAGCAGUGGGGAAUAUUGCACAAUGGGGGAAACCCUGAUGCAGCCAUGCCGCGUGUGUGAAGAAGGCCUUCGGGUUGUAAAGCACUUUCAGUAGGGAGGAAGGUAGUGUAGUUAACACCUGCAUUAUUUGACGUUACCUACAGAAGAAGCACCGGCUAACUCCGUGCCAGCAGCCGCGGUAAUACGGAGGGUGCGUGCGUUAAUCGGAAUUACUGGGCGUAAAGCGCAUGCAGGCGGCCUGUUAAGUCAGAUGUGAAAGCCCGGGGCUUAACCUCGGAAUUGCAUUUGAAACUGGCAGGCUAGAGUCUUGUAGAGGGGGGUAGGAAUUUCAGGUGUAGCGGUGAAAUGCGUAGAGAUCUGAAGGAAUACCAGUGGCGAAGGCGGCCCCCUGGACAAAGACUGACGCUCAGAUGCGAAAGCGUGGGGAGCAAACAGGAUUAGAUACCCUGGUAG